Molecule: long non-coding RNA, 1552 nt
Organism: Eupeodes corollae
Lineage: Eukaryota; Metazoa; Arthropoda; Insecta; Diptera; Syrphidae
Exons: 2
Source: RefSeq, a predicted model, not a curated record
UGAUAAAGAAAAACAUUCAAGACAUGAAAUUAAACAUUUUUUCAACUAACGUAACCAUUUUGGUUUAAAUUUUCAUGUUGUGUUUAUACCGUUUAAUAUGUUAUGUAUAUUCGUCACACAUGGUCACACUAUCAAUUGAAAUGAAAACAAUAAAAGUUUAUAAACUUCAAAUCGAUGUAGAUUUUCUUAUUUUGGAGAAAGCAAACAAUGGCAAUAGUUUUGUUUCUUAGUUCUAAUGGCGAAGAACGAGAACAUGUUCUUAGAAGAAGGAUUAUGGAAGCAUCAAAUCCGUUUGAGUUUGACGAUUUAAAAUUUGUAAGGAACUUUCGCCUCAAAAAACGGCCAUUUAAAUAUGUCUUGGAUGAGCUUUCCAUCGAGAUACAGGGGGGAACUUCUUUGUCCAUACCGUAGCACCGUCUUUAUAUGGAGGCCCAUGGCUAUUGAGCUUGCAGCAUCUCUUCAAAACCGGUCAACAUCUAUACGGUUUACAAAAAAACCAUUCGCUACCUCCGGAUUCUCCUCCAUCAACCUUAUCAGGAUUUCUUUUUGUUCCCUAUUUGUCCAAUUUGAAUGUGACUGUGCGCUUUAUGAAAUAAUAAAAAAAACUCGUUAAUAUAACCAAUUUCGUUUAAUUAUCGUAUAAAAAUUGUUAAAACUUACAUCUUUCUUCAACUAUGCACCAGAAAAUAUCUGAACGACACAAAAAUGACAUUUGGUUCGAAUCAGUCGAUAGUCAAAAUUUACUUAUUUUUUUUUUUUAAUGAACUUUCGAUUGAAUCAGCAAAUUUUCGAAUCGAUCGAAUCUCAAAAUAAAAUCUUCUCGAAUAACUUUCGAAAACGAAUCUCAAAAUAAGGGUGAAUGCUUAUGAUAAAGGGCAAAAUUGUCUCAAUUUAGCAAACCCAUUAAGUCGGGACUCUAGAUAAUAUAUUUCCUCUAUGGUGAUAAGGCUGAAUAAUAAUUGAGAAAACUAGGUAAUUAAACGAUCAUGGCAACACAGCGCAAAGUAAAUAUUAGUUUUUUAGUAAGGUAGAUACACAAUAGAGAUGCAGAAAUGCUCUGAUAUUAUAUUAAUUUUCAAGUCUUGUGCAAACUAAAAUUUAUUUCUGAAAUAUCACUCUUUCAUUAAAGUAAUCCUAUUCUAUUUUUCAUAAAAUCAGCUUGACAUUUUCCUUUGAAAUUAAUUUAUUAUCACGUUUCUAACGCCUUGGUUUGAUGAUAUUUUUGAUUUCUUUAUAAUUGGUUUGACUUUUACUUUAAACAAUUUAAAAAUGAUAAAACAAAACAAAAUGUAUAGUACUAAGAUUUAAAUAUUUGAUUUUUUUUUUAAUAUGGAAGGUGAAUCAAAUGGGUUUUAUAUUUAAAUAAUUUAAAAUUUAUUUCUGAGAAUUUUAAGCUCUAUGUUCAAAUGUGUAUGUAGUUACCUACUAUUGGAAAGUUUCUACAAACAAAAAUAAAAUCUAAUUUUAUUCAAGAGGUGUCGGGGGAAUGGUCCUAGAUUUUGUUGUUAUUUUUUUAAGUCGCUAAAAAUAAUUUUUAUAAAGCUUUAAAAUA